This 403-nucleotide ribosomal RNA is filed under the name uncultured bacterium. Its description in RNAcentral is "bacterial SSU rRNA". It matches the Rfam family "Bacterial small subunit ribosomal RNA", at positions 355 to 774 of the family's 1533-position model. The record is from RNAcentral.
UAGGGAAUAUUGCAAAAUGGGCGAAAGCCCGAUGCAGCAACGCCGCGUGGGCGAUGAAGGCCUUCGGGUCGUAAAGCCCUUUUUGAGGGGAUGAGGAAGGACAGUACCCUCAGAAUAAGCCUCGGCUAACUACGUGCCAGCAGCCGCGGUAAAACGUAGGAGGCGAGCGUUAUCCGGAUUUACUGGGCGUAAAGCGCGUGCAGGCGGAUUGGAGAGUUGGAUGUGAAAGCUCCCGGCUUAACUGGGAGAGGUCGUUCAAUACUUCCAGUCUUGAGUGCAGUAGAGGGAAGUGAAAUUCCGGGUGUAGUGGUGAAAUGCGUAGAUAUCCGGAGGAACACCAGUGGCGAAAGCGGCUUCCUGGACUGUAACUGACGCUCAGACGCGAAAGCUAGGGUAGCAAACG